AGAGUUUGAUCAUGGCUCAGGAUGAACGCUGGCGGCGUGCUUAACACAUGCAAGUCGAACGGGAAUGUUUCGCUGAUGCGAUUUCGGUCAAAUCUUGAAGCAUUUUAGUGGCGGACGGGUGAGUAACGCGUGGGUAACCUGCCCUGUACAGGGGGACAACAGUUGGAAACGACUGCUAAUACCGCAUAAGCGCACAGCUUCGCAUGAAGCAGUGUGAAAAACUCCGGUGGUACAGGAUGGACCCGCGUCUGUUAGAUAGUUGGUGAGGUAACGGCCCACCAAGUCAACGAUCAGUAGCCGGCCUGAGAGGGCGAACGGCCACAUUGGGACUGAGACACGGCCCAAACUCCUACGGGAGGCAGCAGUGGGGAAUAUUGCACAAUGGGGGAAACCCUGAUGCAGCGACGCCGCGUGAGUGAAGAAGUAUUUCGGUAUGUAAAGCUCUAUCAGCAGGGAAGAAAACAAUGACGGUACCUGACUAAGAAGCCCCGGCUAACUACGUGCCAGCAGCCGCGGUAAUACGUAGGGGGCAAGCGUUAUCCGGAUUUACUGGGUGUAAAGGGAGCGUAGACGGUAGACCAAGUCUGAAGUGAAAGCCCGGGGCUCAACCCCGGAACUGCUUUGGAAACUGGUAAACUAGAGUGCAGGAGAGGUAAGUGGAAUUCCUAGUGUAGCGGUGAAAUGCGUAGAUAUUAGGAGGAACACCAGUGGCGAAGGCGGCUUACUGGACUGUAACUGACGUUGAGGCUCGAAAGCGUGGGGAGCAAACAGGAUUAGAUACCCUGGUAGUCCACGCCGUAAACGAUGAUUACUAGGUGUCGGGGAGUUAAACUCUUCGGUGCCGCAGCAAACGCAAUAAGUAAUCCACCUGGGGAGUACGUUCGCAAGAAUGAGACUCAAAGGAAUUGACGGGGACCCGCACAAGCGGUGGAGCAUGUGGUUUAAUUCGAAGCAACGCGAAGAACCUUACCAAAUCUUGACAUCCCGGUGACAAACUGUGUAAAGCAGUCUUUCUUCGGAACACCGGUGACAGGUGGUGCAUGGUUGUCGUCAGCUCGUGUCGUGAGAUGUUGGGUUAAGUGCCAUAACGAGCGCAACCCCUCUCCUUAGUUGCCAUCAGGCUAAGCUGGGCACUCUGGGGACACUGCCACCGUAAGGUGUGAGGAAGGUGGGGAUGACGUCAAAUCAGCACGGCCCUUACGUCCGGGGCUACACACGUGUUACAAUGGCAGGUACAGAGAGACGGUUGUACGUAAGUACGAUCAAAUCCUUAAAGCCUGUCUCAGUUCGGACUGGGGUCUGCAACCCGACCCCACGAAGCUGGAUUCGCCAGUAAUCGCGCAUCAGCCAUGGCGCGGUGAAUACGUUCCCGGGCCUUGUACACACCGCCCGUCAAGCCAUGAAAGCCGGGGGCGCCUAAAGUCCGUGACCGUAAGGAGCGGCCUAGGGCGAAACUGGUAAUUGGGGCUAAGUCGUAACAAGGUA
RNAcentral lists this ribosomal RNA (1485 nucleotides) under metagenome. RNAcentral's name for it is "bacterial SSU rRNA". It matches the Rfam family "Bacterial small subunit ribosomal RNA". The record is from RNAcentral.